Molecule: long non-coding RNA, 415 nt
Organism: Pan paniscus (pygmy chimpanzee)
Lineage: Eukaryota; Metazoa; Chordata; Mammalia; Primates; Hominidae
Source: Ensembl
AUGGGAGAGAUUCAGGUAGAUUUGAACUGUCAUCAUCAAUCAAGACCAAGGAGAAGGCUGCUUUCCAGGAUGUACACAUGGCCUCUGUUUGUUGUUGCUGUUUUGCUUCUUUUAAGAGCUCAACAGAACCCUGUAAUAUACAUGAACAAGUUUCUGGAAGUUAAGAGAUCCCCUCUGAGAAUAUAAAAUAUAUUUCUAUCAAAUCCUUUACAAACUGUUAAUAAUGGCCACAUGGUGCUGAUGGGACAACCUUCACUGCUACAAUCCUUGAAUCACUGCCAUUUAUAUAUUCUACGAACUCAGCAUACUUGGAAAACAACUUGAAAUCAAUUCUACCAAUUAAUAUAUCUUCUAAAAGUUCUGCAACUCUUUGACUUCAUCACAAUUACCCUCCGGUUCAUGUCAAUAAAUAAAA